GCCGGCACAAACACGGAAGUAAACAUUUGCGGCGAAAGUCUCGGACCACCACUCCAGCGCUGUGAAGGAUCCAGGACACCCGUUGAAAUCCGAACAGGCGGCGGCGAAGCUACGCUGCCGCACACAUCGUGAAGAGGAAUCCGCCGCAGGCACUGAAUGCGGUCCCGGCGGCCGAAGACAACAAAGCCACCGCGCGCUGCGGCACGCCUACGCCUGACCUGGACACCGGACCGCAAGCCUCUUUUCCUGAAUCUCCUACGGACCCUACCCGGAGCCCGGUAUAGUAGCAAGUAGUCAGGAGAGUCAGGAUCGAUAGCAAAUGGAGGAGGAAAUGCCUGUUUGAACCUGUCGUAAUUAUCAAACAGGACCUCCAUCGACUCUCUGAUGUGAAACAAAGAGUCCCGGUCAUAAGUCCAUACAGCCAGAACACAUCCAUCUGUUAUGCAGGCUGAGAUGAUCACGUACACUGAGAAACAGAGCAUUAAUAAUUUACACAGCAGGAAACGAGCCGCGGCUCUGCCAGUUACAGGCGCCAUCUUGCUCCCAAGUUUUUUCCAAUUGCUAACACACUAAAAUGACAUGCACAGCACAAUUAUUUAAACGGACACACAGAGAGCAAGUCUCCAAAGGUCUAAACACAUUUUCUGCUUUACACACAUUUUGCAUUUCAAAAUGCCACUUUUUAAAUGCACUGAACACAGUUCUCUGCAUAAGACACAACAAUCUGACAUAAAGUCACGUUUGCCAUUUCAAAACACUACCAUUCAAAAUGAUACUACAUGAGCUAAUUGGCCAAUUACAUGUGCCACCUGGCCAAACAUCUCAAUGGUUAAUUGUUAACACUUCAAUCAGGAUGUAAGCACUAUGAAAAGACCACAGGUGAGCACCUUUUAUUUUGCAACAACAAUGGAAGACGGUGCAGAGAGAGGAAGAGGAAGAGGGAGGUUGAGAAUAAGAGGGGGAGGAAGAGUGAGAGGUAGGGGUAGAGCAGGUAGAGGAGUUCAUGGCCAGAGAAGGCAAACACUUUCAAAUGAAAUCAGAGCAGAGAGAGAAACUCUCAAAGAAACAAAGAGGUCAGACGAGCAUAUGUGGAUGGAGUACUGGAAAUGGAUGCUCAUGCAAUCCCACAUGAGUUCAUCUUUAUAGAUGAGGCUGGGUUCAACCUAGCAAAGACCAGAAGAAGGGGGAGAAACGUCAUUGGCCACAGAGCCUUUACAGAUGUUCCUGGCCAACGCGGUGGGAACAUCACAAUGUGAGCUGCCACCUCCAGUAUGCAUGGUGUCCUCCACCGUCAUGCCAACCUUGGACCAUACAACACAGCCCAUAUUCUCACAUUUCUGGACAGACUUCACAACAUUCUCAUACCACCAGAGCGUAUGAAUGAUGCAGACCAUCAAAGAAACCGGUACGUUGUAGUAUGGGACAACGUGAGCUUUCAUCGUGCAGCCCCAGUCCAAAACUGGUUUGCUGACCACCCAACAUUUCUCGUGUUAUACCUCCCACCAUACUCACCAUUUCUGAACCCCAUAGAAGAGUUCUUUUGGGCAUGGCGGUAGAAGGUAUACAACCGGCAGCCCUUUGUGCGCAUGCCUCUUGUGCAGGCCAUGGAAGAGGCAUGUGAUGAGAUUGAUGUGGGUGCAAAUCAGGGAUGGUUAAGGCACUCAAGGCGCUUCUUCCCUCGAUGUCUGGCAAGGGAAGAUAUUGCCUGUGAGGUUGACGAGGCGCUGUGGCCAGACCAGGCUGUGCGGCAAGAUGCUGCCUAAUUAUUUUUCUUGCCUCUUUUUUUUUCUUUUUUUUUGUAAGAAUAUUUUUGUUCAGUCCCAUGUAAAUAUAUCUGCUGUGCAUAUGCUGCACUGACUUGUUUACUGUAGUGAAAAAUAAAAUAAAGUUUCAACAGCA
Molecule: long non-coding RNA, 1899 nt
Organism: Micropterus salmoides (largemouth bass)
Lineage: Eukaryota; Metazoa; Chordata; Actinopteri; Centrarchiformes; Centrarchidae
Exons: 2
Source: RefSeq, a predicted model, not a curated record